RNAcentral lists this microRNA precursor (123 nucleotides) under Prunus dulcis (almond). RNAcentral's name for it is "sRNA ncRNA". The record is from RNAcentral. Lineage: Eukaryota; Viridiplantae; Streptophyta; Magnoliopsida; Rosales; Rosaceae.
AGAUUGAGAGAGAAGAUGAGAGGAAAAAGUAACAAAAGUGAAAACAAUUUGGAAUAUAUUUCAGUUUUUAGUUUUUGCUUUCACUUUUGUUACUCAUCCCUCACAUCAUCUCCUCUUCAAUCU